This 306-nucleotide long non-coding RNA is filed under the name Homo sapiens (human). Its description in RNAcentral is "HSALNT0153057". The record is from RNAcentral. Lineage: Eukaryota; Metazoa; Chordata; Mammalia; Primates; Hominidae.
UUCCAGAUGCUCUCAAGCUGGGCCAGUGGCCAACUGCAGAACGGAGAGUGGCCGAGCAGGGAAGGUCAUAGAAGGCACAGGAUGGGGAAGGACACUGGAGACCAGGUUCCUGUAGGGAAAGAGAUGCCAUGCUAGUCUGAAUCUACUGGGACAGCUCUGUAUCUGAGGCCUGGGUGCAAGGCAACUUGGCUGCUGAAUUAGGGAAGAGAUAAAAGAAGAAUAAGAAUGGUCUGUCUUAUUUUUUUAAGUUGUAGGCGUGUGGGAGGAUUACUCUUCCUGGCCCUGUUUAAGUGAGGUCUGGCCAAG